UCUGUAAUAAUCUCAACAAUAAAGAUUUUAAAAAAGAAUUUGGAGGGACAGUGUUCAAAGGACAGUAUGAUAUAAAUUCAGUAUCUGGCAUCACUGGUUUUCAUAGCUUCAUGCAUGUUAAACCUGGUGUGUGUUUUUUAACUGAU
RNAcentral lists this small nucleolar RNA (146 nucleotides) under Myotis davidii. RNAcentral describes it as "Small nucleolar RNA SNORA8". It matches the Rfam family "Small nucleolar RNA SNORA8", at positions 15 to 139 of the family's 139-position model. From Rfam's summary of the family: ACA8 is a member of the H/ACA class of snoRNA that guide the sites of modification of uridines to pseudouridines. The record is from Rfam by way of RNAcentral. Lineage: Eukaryota; Metazoa; Chordata; Mammalia; Chiroptera; Vespertilionidae.